AGAGUUUGAUCCUGGCUCAGGAUAAACGCUGGCGGCGUGCCUAACACAUGCAAGUCGAACGCCUUCUGGCAACAGAGGGAGUGGCGGACGGGUGAGCAACACGUGGGUCAUCUACCUUUGGGUGAGGAAUACCGGCGAGAAAUCGCCGACAAUACCGCAUGGGCUGCGCGAGCAGCAAAGUCGCAAGACGCCCGAAGAUG
This 200-nucleotide ribosomal RNA is filed under the name uncultured bacterium. RNAcentral describes it as "partial 16S ribosomal RNA". It matches the Rfam family "Bacterial small subunit ribosomal RNA", at positions 8 to 227 of the family's 1533-position model. The record is from RNAcentral.